UGAAAUCUAUGAUCUUAGGGAGUGUAUGGAUAAAAUUUUAGCAUCUUCAAACAAUACUUGAGGACUUGGAAGUACAUUUCUAAAAUAUAUGGAUGGAUGAAAAAGCAUCACGGUGAGUUUCCAGCUUGAUUUUUUUGCUUGCUUUACUUAUUCAUAAAUUUCUCAUCAUCUUUCCUCGGUUGUAGGUCUUUGGCUCAAAGAACAGUUGCCUGAGCUUAAUUGAGAUACCGAAGAAUGAUGAUGGAGCUCAAGAACAAAUCUAGAGGCUUGCUGCUCCAAUGAGUCAAAUGGUAUUUGUAGGAGGUAAUGUUAGUAGUCCUCUAAGGAAGAGAAUGACCGGAUCGAAACAUUUCCUGAGUUGAUUCCCAGGCUAUUCAGUUUCCUUAGGGACGUGUCAAAGGACAAUCCCAUUAUUGUUGAUGAGAGUGAUAAGAGAGAGUCUCCGGCUGGGGUACAUGUAGAUAAAAUAGUUUCGGGGACUGGAACGGAAUUUCUUGUACAAGUCGAUUUUGAUGAUUGGCUCGGUCAAGGCCUUUUUACUAAAAUAGAUGGAGAUAUCAUUCCUGAGCCCUUGUCCUUUCCGGAGCUUCCAGUUUUACAAGGUGCAGAGGCUAGACCAUC
Molecule: long non-coding RNA, 621 nt
Filed under: Nicotiana tabacum (common tobacco)
Lineage: Eukaryota; Viridiplantae; Streptophyta; Magnoliopsida; Solanales; Solanaceae
Description: long non-coding RNA (NTAB_LNC017729)
Source: RNAcentral